Molecule: unclassified non-coding RNA, 1507 nt
Filed under: Hevea brasiliensis (rubber tree)
Lineage: Eukaryota; Viridiplantae; Streptophyta; Magnoliopsida; Malpighiales; Euphorbiaceae
Source: RNAcentral
AGGAUUUUUUUUUUUUUUUUUAAAGUCCUAUAAAAGAGCUAUCAUGCAGCAAUUUACCUUCUCAGGGCUGCAAUGAAACUGAUGGCCUAUCUUCUGGCUUCUCAAUAAGUUUACAUCUUGAAGGUGGACCAAACACGCUCAAAAUUACCUGCAAAUGGUUACGCCAAGGUGUAUUAGAGAUGACUUGCUUUUCAAAUCCCUGUUCAUAAAGGCACACAACACAUAUAAUGACCAAAGAGGAGAGAACUCUGGUUAAGCACCAUUUUCUGUUGGUUAAAUAUGAGAGAAAUUUACUGAUCCCUCUUUUCGUUCAACCCUCAUUCAAAUAACCAUUGUCAAUAGAUUACCAAAUAUGGAUGCUUACACUCUUUCUGUUGGUAAAAUAUAACUUGCGGGUUUCUAAAGUACUUGGUGAUUAACGCCCACGAAAAAACAUAAGCUAAAUGCAAAUGCAGAAGGAUUGAAAGAAGAUUAAUGAACUUACAGGCAAGAAUACAAGCCCAUGCAAGAAACCAAGAAGAACCAACGCCAGGUACAUUUGGAAGUAAUAAACCUGCAGAAAAUGCGAAGUGAAGAUUUUAAAUAUUCUGAAGAAUUAUUGGGUUGGCAUGUUCGAUUAAUAACUAAGUGUAAGAACAGAGACCACAAAAACUUCCGUCCUAGAGAAGCACAGAACAAGUACACCGACUAGCUUUGUUAGUGUGAUUCCACUGAAGACUGAAGCCCCCAUUGUACCUAGAGCCUCCUCCACUCUUUGGUCUUUAUCUCCGCUACUUACCUGUAUACAAAUCCUGUAAGAAUAUGCAGCUAAAGCAACAAAUCAACUGAAACUUUAAACCAGAAAAUAUUAAUUUUCUACACUCAGAAACAAAAGAAUUCUUUAAGAAGAUUAUUGUGAAUUAUCAAGUCUUGAACAAGCAUUCUUUCUAUACUUUAAAAUCAUAAUGCAUUGUUUAAAAUAUCAAGAUGUUGGAUGUAAGAGAAAGAGAGAGAUGCCAUCUACAUUUUAACUGAACCAAACAAUAUAAUAAUACAAGUUUCAACUAAAGGAAACAUGUAAUUAGCAUGAAUUUCCAUCAGAAGGUCACAGGCGAUUGCCUCACAAAGGUGGACAGGGGAAAAAACGUAGAAUCAAAUGAUGCUUACUGAGAAAGCAAAUGUUAUAUGUACACAGAACUCAACAGCAAUGCCCACUGACAUGACAAGGUUAACAACAGAGACUGCAUUCAGUUGAAUAUCCAGAAUUGCCAUCACACCCAUAAGAUCCACGACAAUCAUCGCCAAAACCAGCAAAAUUAUUGCUGAGCUCCAUAAACUACAUUUAAACAAACAAAAGGAACAAAAUAAAUACUGGUUCUUUCCACCCUUUUUGGAUGCUAUAGUUCAUUUGCUGAACCACUACAGCCCUGCUUGGCAUUGAGUUUCAGAGUCUGAAACUGCUUUUCUGAAUAAAACCACCAUUUUAGAUACUGUUGAGAAAAGUAGUUUGGAAAAAACUGUUUUGUUA